CUACGGAUGGUGCGAGCGUUGUUCGGAAUUACUGGGCGUAAAGGGCGCGUAGGCGGCGAUGUAAGUCAAAUGUGAAAGUCCUCGGCUUAACCGGGGAAGUGCAUCUGAAACUGCAUUGCUUGAGUAUGGGAGAGGAAAGUGGAAUUCCCGGUGUAGAGGUGAAAUUCGUAGAGAUCGGGAGGAAUACCGGUGGCGAAGGCGACUUUCUGGACCAAUACUGACGCUGAGGCGCGAAAGCGUGGGGAGCAAACAGGAUUAGAAACCCCAGUAGUCC
This 274-nucleotide ribosomal RNA is filed under the name uncultured bacterium. RNAcentral describes it as "partial 16S ribosomal RNA". It matches the Rfam family "Bacterial small subunit ribosomal RNA", at positions 523 to 796 of the family's 1533-position model. The record is from RNAcentral.